GAUGCUUCCUCCAACCUCUCCAAUGCAGUCGAUGACAACACCUAAGAGACCAUCGCCGGCGGUGCAAAGACAAAAUUCGUCUCCUUACCAGCGCCCACCAUCUAAACCAGCUCGAAAAUCGGUCAAAAACGAAGGAUCUCAACCAAGUCGUCCUGAAAGACGACAAACGCAAGCAAACCGUUCUUCACAGAAUUCGACCAUCACCGAGCAGGCCAACCAAUUCAGAUAUGAAAAUCGUGCUGCAACUUCUGAAAGACCGCCAAGUCCCCAAUUCUCGAAUCAACAUCACGAUGCCACUAACGCGAUGCCCAUAGUCUACCAGGAGACUCAACUGCAUGCUACCAAGGGAGGAAAGUGGUCCCCGAUUGGAUUCGCAGCAACUCAGCUGUUCGAUUGUCAACGUGGAGUUCCUUUUGACAGGGACACUUGUGAGGUAAGAGACUUGAAUUACAUUGGAACAAAAAGCAUUGAAAAUUCUGCUCCAAAAAAAUUCUAAAAAUUUUUUGGAUUUUCAUUUUUAAAAACUCUAAUUUUUUUUUGGAUUUUUGAUUACAAAAAAAAACUAAAUUUUCUUUAAAAAAUUCUUUAAAAUUUUUGGAUUUUUUUUUCUAGAAAUUCUAUUCUUUUUUUUUGGAUUUUUGAUUACAAAAAAAAACAAAAAUUUCUUUAAAAAAUUCUAAAAAUUUCUGGAUUUUCAUUUCGAAAAACUUUUUUUUUUGGAUGUUUAAUUGCAAAAAAACUAAGUUUCCUUUUAAAAAAACUUAAAAUUUUUGUAUUUUUGAUGUUUAAAAAAUUCUAAAAAUUUUUAGAUUAUUUUUUUCUAGAAAUGUUUUUUUUUGGAUUUUUGAUUACAAAAAAAAAACUAAAUUUUCUUUAAAAAAUUCUAAAAAUUUUUGGAUUUUCAUUUCUAAAAUCUCUAAUUUUUUUUUGGAUUUUUGAUUGCUAAAAAACUAAAUUUUCUAUUAAAAAAAUUUAAAAUUUUUGUAUUUUUGAUGUUUAAAAAAUUCUAAAAAUUUUUAGAUUAUUUUUUUCUAGAAAUGCUUUUUUUUUGGAUUUUUGAUUACAAAAAAAACUAAAUUUUCUUCCAAAAAUUCUUUAAAAUUUUUGGAUUUUUUUUCUAGAAAUUCUAUUCUUUUUUUUUUGGAUUUUUGAUUGAUAAAAAACUAAAUUUCUAUUAAAAAAUUCUAAAAAUCAAAAGUUCUAAAGGCUUUGAGAGACACACAAUUUCUUUGUAUUUGAACUUUUCAGAGAAGUUUCAUGCAAUUGGUCAGAAACAAAAAAGAUGUGGAAUUUUUUUUUUCAGCUUGCUUUGGGACUAGCAUUUGUCGCCGGCAAGGUAACUUUUUGAUAGUUUUAAAAAUUCAAUAUUUAUUUUUAGGGAAACAGAAACCAAGAGCCCAAACCGGAAAACCUUGAAGAAACGGUAUUAAAUUGGAUAUCGAACAUGUUUAUUCUAGUUAAUUUUAAGGUGGCUAAAACGACUAUUCCGAAUAUUGGAUUUUCAGUCGACACGGCGAAAAAAUGCGACGCUAACUUGGUUCUUCCGAGUCAACGUUACUUCAAAAUUUCGGAAGCCUUAAAGCCAGGAGAAAUCGGAGGAGCCACGUCUUCAAAAUUCGUCAGCCACACUAGAAAAUUGGCUAGAAAGAUGUUUGACAAAGUAAAAGAAAAUUGAAGUCAACAUAGAUAUGCAUACUUUUUUUUAGAUCGAUAAAGUGAACGACUUGAUGAUUUGCUAUGCGGCUACUUCAUCAUCGACAUCGAAAAAGUACAAUGUGAUCAACGAUCAAUUCUUCAUCAAACUCGCCGGUAAAAUGGAACAAUUUCCCUAAUUUUCAAAAUGAAACUUAAUUUUAGAUUUCUUCAUUCACGGAUUCGGCCAAAAACCAACGGGAGAUCGAAGAGAAUUCGUCAAAAAUUUGCUCGUCGAAGUGAUGCACAACAAAUUGUUAGUGGAAAUUUACGAUCUAGUCAACCAUAAAGUAUUUUUUUUAACAGGAAUCGCAUUCGAAAUCGCUACAAUCAAGAAAAAGGUGCAAACAAAAGUGAGGAGGCGGGAAAAUGGAUGCAAAUGGAGCUCAAAAAGGAAAAUUGCGGAGAACUAGUGAG
This 2109-nucleotide small RNA is filed under the name Caenorhabditis elegans. RNAcentral's name for it is "Unclassified non-coding RNA T25D1.7". The record is from RNAcentral. Lineage: Eukaryota; Metazoa; Nematoda; Chromadorea; Rhabditida; Rhabditidae.